GGCGGGUUGCCCGAGCGGCCAAUGGGAGCAGACUGUAAAUCUGUCGGUGUAUGCCUUCGGUGGUUCGAAUCCAUCACCCGCCA
This 83-nucleotide transfer RNA is filed under the name Propionibacteriaceae bacterium. RNAcentral's name for it is "tRNA-Tyr". It matches the Rfam family "tRNA". From Rfam's summary of the family: Transfer RNA (tRNA) molecules are approximately 80 nucleotides in length. Their secondary structure includes four short double-helical elements and three loops (D, anti-codon, and T loops). The record is from RNAcentral. Lineage: Bacteria; Bacillati; Actinomycetota; Actinomycetes; Propionibacteriales; Propionibacteriaceae.